UACAUUUUUCCGUUUGCUUCCGGGCGCGCUUCGCUAUUUCAAAACUCAUAACGUUUUCUUUUUUUCAUGGAAAAGUUUCAUUCUAAAGCUCUCUGUGUCAUGUGUGCAAUCGUUACGGAAGAGUGUAAUUUAUUAUAGUCAUAUAACGAUCGCAUAACGAUCGGUUCUUCUAUGUUGAUGGCAAGUAAGAAGUUACGAAGGACGGGCGUCUCAGCAGAGCUCUGCGAGCGACUCAAGCGCCAUCAACUGGAAACCUGUCAGGAUGUCCUGUCCAUAACACCCGUGGAGCUCAUGCGGCUGGCUGGACUCAGUUACCCCGCGGCUCUGGAGCUCCUGCAGCUGCUCAGUAGAGCCUGUGCCCCGGCUGUGAGCCGCGCAUGGGAUUUGUGGAGGAAGAAGGGAGAGCUGUGUUUCUCCACAUCACUUCCUGCCCUGGACACAUUACUGCGUGGAGGACUGCCGAGGGGUGCUCUCACUGAGGUGACCGGCCCGUCAGGCUGUGGAAAGACUCAGCUGUGUAUGAUGCUCAGUGUUUUGGCUACGCUGCCGAGGACUAUGGGAGGUCUGGACAGCGGGGUCAUCUUCAUCGACACAGAGUCGGCGUUCUCUGCUGAAAGAUUGGUGGAAAUGGCACAGGCCAGAUUCCCAGAGUUCUUUUCGGUGAAGGAGCGUCUGCUGGAGAUGGCGUCUCGUGUUCAUCUCUUCAGGGAACUCACCUGCCAGGACGUCCUGAAUAGGCUGGAGCGUCUGGAGGAAGACAUAAUUGCGUGUCGAGCCGGGCUUCUUAUUUUGGAUUCCGUGGCUUCUGUUGUGAGGAAGGAGUUUGACACGUCGCUGCCGGGAAAUCUAACGUUCAGGAGUAACCUACUGGGCCAGGAAGCCGCUGUACUGAAGUACCUCUCGCAGGCCUUCUGCAUCCCAGUGGUUUUAACUAACCAGAUCACCACACGUGUGGGCGAGAAGGUUCACUGUCCUCAGUGGAAUCAGGCAGAUGUAUCUAAGGAGGAGGACUCAGGUUUUGUGACAGCGGCGCUUGGAAACACAUGGAGUCACAGUGUUAACACACGCCUCAUCGUCCAGUACGAGGACACAGAACGGAGACAGAUUGUCAUAGCCAAAUCACCUGUGGCCCCUUUUGCCGUGCUGAGCUACACUGUUCAGAAGGAGGGCAUCCGUCUUGAGGCCUUGGCUCACAAAGGACAAAACGAGGCCCUUAUUAAGCUGCCCCUUCGCCAGGCCACAUGGAGGAUUUGCGAGUUCAGUGGGAUCUGCAGGAACAACAAGGGAACAACGAAACUCUUCAUUCUGUCAGGAAAGCAUGGCAGAGGAUCCUGGACCUACGGGAAUGAAAACCCAGAAAGUGUUUUAAACCAAGGAACAGAUCCAGGGCUUCAGCCAAUCAGAGUGAGGUCGGGGUUCAUCUGCAACCUUUCCCAGGCCACACCUUCUACUUGUUAAGAACUUCCUUUGGCCCCAGAAUGCAGUGGCCGUUAUUGCCCUAUUUAAAGGUGCAAGCUAUGGUUAACCAUUGCAGGAACAUGUGGAGGACAGACACAAAGCAGACGGAUUGGACUUUGUAGAACAUUACCUCCGUUCUCAUCCAGUUAGAAAACUGCAGCAUCAGUCAGCUAUUGAUUGACAGCUGUAUUUUUCCUCUCCCUGCUCCUGUGAUAAGACGGCAGUCUUGGACAAACGCUACUUGACCCUGGCUGGCCGUUGCCAUGGAUUCUGUUCCCAUGACUCCUGUUCCCAUGGUUCCUUCAGCCUUAGAGGGAAGUUUGUCUGAUUAGAUGAACAAUGGUGUUAUUUUGGGUGGUUCCCCCUUUUUCGCCUUGUUUUGCGUUUCGUUGUAUAUGUGCACAGAUACGCAUUGGCACAUUCUUUGUAUUUAUUUUUAUGACUUGUUUCUUCCUAAUAGGCUUUUAUAUAGAGUUCUAACAUUAAUAAAUGCAAACUCAAGUCUUCCAAACUCUUAAUUAUUGUGAUUUCAUUAGUAGAAUCUGCUCACAGUGCAGACGUCAGGGACAUCUUUAGCCCUCGGCCAGCAGAUAAAGUCAGUUGUGACAGCCGAACACGCAAUGCUGAGUAGGUGUUCUUUCUGUCUAUCUUUCUCUUUCAUCCUCUUUCUGUAUAUCUCUCCUCCCUUCCCCCCAUAAGCGGGCUGAUAGGCUGAGAGUUGACAUGUUUUUACAGAUCUUUUAAUGGUUGACCUGUGGCGAUAUCACUGCCUGUGCCUGUAGUGGAGGGAGGAAAACUCUCCUUCCUCGCCUGUAAACCGGAAGGCAAAAAUCAGAGCAGAGAGUCAUGAGAUCCUGACGUGGGUGCAAAACGUCCACAGCGAUCAGUUCUCAUCCAAACCCAUCCAAACCAGCCACACAAAAAGAUCAUGCUCAUGGGCUUGAUGUCAAAUAUCAGUACAUUUCAACUAGCCUUGAUUCUUUUCUCUUUUUUUUUUUAGCAGUGUUUGUUUUUGAAUUGAUAAAAUUGGAUGCUUGUGAUCUCAAGUCAGUUCUGUUUGGAACCUUUUGUUUUGUUCUGCUUUCUUAGGCUUAUUUAGUUCUUGCACUGGCUUGAGGUUAAACCGACAACCACACGUUCCCUUAUCUAGAAACUCCCCGAAAUGCCCCUUUUAGUGCAAAUCGUUUCAAUCUUCUGAUACUGUGAACUCGAGAGCAGAGCUCUUUUUUGAUUAUUCAUUGCACUCUGAAACACUGAAGAAAAAAAAGCUGAUGGAGUUAUUACAAAGUCUAUGCGGGUAUUGCUCAACUGCGACUUUGGCCUUAUUCCUCAUGUCUGUUCUUAAAGGCAUAGUGACCCACAGCCCUGGUGCAAAUGGACACGCACUGUCAAGUGUGUGUUCCUGAAAGAAUAACUAACAAUUAUAUAGCACUUUUCCCAAAAAUGACAAGCACUGGAUGGCUGUUAUGCUUUGCUACAUAAUGUUUUAAAGGGUUGCCUCAUAUAAAAAAUUAUAUUAUGUCAUUAACUUCCUCAUGAAAAAGACCCAAUGACAAUU
Molecule: RNA transcript, 3016 nt
Organism: Carassius auratus (goldfish)
Lineage: Eukaryota; Metazoa; Chordata; Actinopteri; Cypriniformes; Cyprinidae
Gene name: DNA repair protein RAD51 homolog 2-like
Exons: 12
Source: RefSeq, a predicted model, not a curated record